This 406-nucleotide ribosomal RNA is filed under the name uncultured bacterium. Its description in RNAcentral is "partial 16S ribosomal RNA". It matches the Rfam family "Bacterial small subunit ribosomal RNA", at positions 30 to 526 of the family's 1533-position model. The record is from RNAcentral.
AUUGAACGCUGGCGGCAGGCUUAACACAUGCAAGUCGAGCGAGCGGCGGACGGGUGAGUAAUGUCUUGAAACGUGCCUGACGUAGGGGGAUAAAUACUGGAAACGGUAGCUAAUACUGCAUACCAUCAGAUGUGCCCAGAUGGGAUUAGCUAGUAGGGGGGGUAAAGGCUCACCUAGGCGAAGAUCCCUAGCUGGUCUGAGAGGAUGACCGGCCACACUGGAACGGAGACACGGCCCAGACUCCUACGGGAGGCAGCAGUAGGGAAUAUUGCGCAAUGGGCGCAAGCCUGAUGGAGCAAUGCCGCGUGAGUGAAGAAGGCUUUCGGGUUGUAAAGCACUGUCAGCGAGGAAGCGUUAUUCACCGAGGAAGCACCGGCUAACUCCGUGCCAGCAGCCGCGGUAAUAC